CCACGUUGAAGGCUGUGUUGGAAUUCCAACGAUAGCUGGUACUUCAGUGUAUACAAGGUCUGAUGACAGAACAUACCCGUGGACCCAAAGAACACCAACACAUUCGGAACAUGAGAGUUUGUCUCAGACGACAGUUAAGAUUUCUGAUAAAACGACUUUACCUCAGGUUCUUGAUGCAACUACAAACGGAGAAAGCAUGGACAAUAGUGUUCAAGCACUGUUGUCAAGAGAAAUUAUUGUGUAUCUUACAUUAUCAGUCUUAGUUUUGAUUUUUGGAAUAUGCUUAUGCUUUAUAUUCUACAAGUACAAGACAGUGAAAAAAAAGAAGAAAGCAACAAUCACACAAUCACAAAACCCAACUCAAAACUGUCAUAAUAUCGAAAUGGAGGAACGUUUGUAUGACAUUAUCGAUGACGCAGACAUGCUAGAAGAACAACUGUUGAAGGAAAUUCAAAUAUCGCCUGAUUACCUCGAUGUAAUAAGCGGAUCAAACAGCACCGGAAGUGGUGAAGGCAAAAAUGUAGAAAACCAUGAAAACAAUUUCGAGUCACUGUCAACUGAUCAGAUAAAAAUGCUCGUAAACAAAGUAAUUUGUAGUUCUCUGAAUAAUAGAGAAAGUACCUCAUCUUCUGGUGAAGAUCGCCCGGAAACAAAACAAGAUUACUUAAAUACAUAUCAGUCUGUGAUUAAAACGUCACCACCAAAUAUUACAGAGUAUCUUACAUUAGCAACCGUACACAGCAGGACAGACAGUAGUGGGGUCAAUAACAAAUCAGGCGUAUUCAGUAAAGAUGAAAAUAUACUCCAGUAUCCCAUAGACCUAGAGGAGAUCGGUUUACGUCGGCCUUAUGAAUACGAGAAUUCUUCAAUUAGCAUUGGAUGUGUAUUUCCUCGGCGUUGUUUAUCAAGUAUAAGAGGACGGGAAUCGAAGUCGUGCGAUAAUUUGAAUAGCAUCCGGUUGAAAAUAAAAACAUUUUCCGGAAAAGACGAUAACAAUAAAACAUCAAGUGAAGACAAAAGCAUUGACUAUUAUAAUCUAUUUAAAACUAAAUCAGAAAGUGAUAUAUUUUGUAAGCAUAAUCCGGAGAAAUAAUGACUCAGCUCGGCAUAAUGGCACACUUUACUCAGUUUUUAUCCUGAUUAAAAGAAAUCAGCGUAUGAGCAAGCAUGUGGUGCCUUUAGAA
Mytilus californianus (California mussel) is the source of this 1184-nucleotide long non-coding RNA. RefSeq lists it as uncharacterized. The record is from RefSeq and is a predicted model, not a curated record. Lineage: Eukaryota; Metazoa; Mollusca; Bivalvia; Mytilida; Mytilidae. The transcript has 4 exons.